AUUGAACGCUGGCGGCAUGCUUUACACAUGCAAGUCGAACGGUAACAGGUUAAGCUGACGAGUGGCGAACGGGUGAGUAAUGCAUCGGAACGUGCCCGAUCGUGGGGGAUAACGCAGCGAAAGCUGCGCUAAUACCGCAUACGAUCCGAGGAUGAAAGCGGGGGACCGUAAGGCCUCGCGCGAACGGAGCGGCCGAUGUCAGAUUAGGUAGUUGGUGGGGUAAAGGCCCACCAAGCCGACGAUCUGUAGCUGGUCUGAGAGGACGACCAGCCACACUGGGACUGAGACACGGCCCAGACUCCUACGGGAGGCAGCAGUGGGGAAUUUUGGACAAUGGGCGAAAGCCUGAUCCAGCAAUGCCGCGUGCAGGAAGAAGGCCUUCGGGUUGUAAACUGCUUUUGAACGGAGCGAAAAGGUCCUUUCUAAUACAAGGGGCUCAUGACGGUACCGUAAGAAUAGGCACCGGCUAACUACGUGCCAGCCGCCGCUGUAA
Molecule: ribosomal RNA, 493 nt
Filed under: uncultured bacterium
Lineage: Bacteria
Description: partial 16S ribosomal RNA
Rfam family: Bacterial small subunit ribosomal RNA
Source: RNAcentral